AACGAACGCUGGCGGCAGGCCUAACACAUGCAAGUCGAACGCCGUAGCAAUACGGAGUGGCAGACGGGUGAGUAACACGUGGGAACGUACCCUUCGGUUCGGGAUAACUCAGGGAAACUUGAGCUAAUACCGGAUACGUCCGAGAGGAGAAAGAUUUAUUGCCGAGGGAUCGGCCCGCGUCUGAUUAGCUUGUUGGUGAGGUAACGGCUCACCAAGGCGACGAUCAGUAGCUGGCUGAGAGGAUGAUCAGCCACAUUGGGACUGAGACACGGCCCAAACUCCUACGGGAGGCAGCAGUGGGGAAUAUUGGACAAUGGGCGCAAGCCUGAUCCAGCCAUGCCGCGUGAGUGAUGAAGGCCCUAGGGUUGU
This 369-nucleotide ribosomal RNA is filed under the name uncultured bacterium. RNAcentral's name for it is "bacterial SSU rRNA". It matches the Rfam family "Bacterial small subunit ribosomal RNA", at positions 29 to 426 of the family's 1533-position model. The record is from RNAcentral.